AACGGUCUAUACCUGCGGUACCUGCGGAAGGAUCAUUAUUGAAUAAACUUGGUCAAGCUGUUGCUGGUCCUUCGGGGCAUGUGCACGUUUGCCACCAAUUUUAACCACCUGUGCACCUUUUGUAGAUUGGAAACGUUUCUCGAGGCAACUCGGAUUUGAGGACUGCUGUGCGCAAGCCGGCUGUUCUUGUGUUUCUCAAUCUAUGUUUUCAUAUACUCCUAAUGUAUGUAUCAGAAUGUA
This 240-nucleotide unclassified non-coding RNA is filed under the name soil metagenome. RNAcentral describes it as "partial contains 5.8S ribosomal RNA, internal transcribed spacer 2, and large subunit ribosomal RNA". The record is from RNAcentral.